Molecule: ribosomal RNA, 497 nt
Filed under: uncultured bacterium
Lineage: Bacteria
Description: partial 16S ribosomal RNA
Rfam family: Bacterial small subunit ribosomal RNA
Source: RNAcentral
GAUGAACGCUGGCGGCGUGCCUAAUACAUGCAAGUCGAGCGAACAGACGAGGAGCUUGCUCCUCUGACGUUAGCGGCGGACGGGUGAGUAACACGUGGAUAACCUACCUAUAAGACUGGGAUAACUUCGGGAAACCGGAGCUAAUACCGGAUAAUAUAUUGAACCGCAUGGUUCAAUAGUGAAAGACGGUUUUGCUGUCACUUAUAGAUGGAUCCGCGCCGCAUUAGCUAGUUGGUAAGGUAACGGCUUACCAAGGCAACGAUGCGCAGCCGACCUGAGAGGGUGAUCGGCCACACUGGAACUGAGACACGGUCCAGACUCCUACGGGAGGCAGCAGUAGGGAAUCUUCCGCAAUGGGCGAAAGCCUGACGGAGCAACGCCGCGUGAGUGAUGAAGGUCUUCGGAUCGUAAAACUCUGUUAUUAGGGAAGAACAAAUGUGUAAGUAACUAUGCACGUCUUGACGGUACCUAAUCAGAAAGCCACGGCUAACUACGUG